Sinocyclocheilus rhinocerous is the source of this 78-nucleotide long non-coding RNA. RefSeq lists it as uncharacterized. The transcript is spliced from 3 exons. The record is from RefSeq and is a predicted model, not a curated record. Lineage: Eukaryota; Metazoa; Chordata; Actinopteri; Cypriniformes; Cyprinidae.
AUCAUGCACAUCCUGAAAAUCUACAAAUGAUUUGAACAGGUCUUAUAAAAUUAUUAAAAGCUUUUGUUAAUGCACAAC